This 76-nucleotide transfer RNA is filed under the name Desulfuromonas sp. RNAcentral describes it as "tRNA-Thr". It matches the Rfam family "tRNA". From Rfam's summary of the family: Transfer RNA (tRNA) molecules are approximately 80 nucleotides in length. Their secondary structure includes four short double-helical elements and three loops (D, anti-codon, and T loops). The record is from RNAcentral. Lineage: Bacteria; Pseudomonadati; Thermodesulfobacteriota; Desulfuromonadia; Desulfuromonadales; Desulfuromonadaceae.
GCUCACAUAGCUCAGAUGGUAGAGCACAUCCUUGGUAAGGAUGAGGUCACCGGUUCAAAUCCGGUUGUGAGCUCCA